AGCGAACGCUGGCGGCAGGCCUAACACAUGCAAGUCGAACGAUCUCUUCGGAGAUAGUGGCGGACGGGUGCGUAACACAUGGGAAUCUACCCCUUACUGGGGGAUAACAUCUGGAAACAGGUGCUAAUACCGCAUAUUCCAUAUUGGGAAAGCUCAGGCGGUAAGGGAGGAGCCCAUGGCUGAUUAGCUUGUUGGUGAGGUAAUGGCUCACCAAGGCAACGAUCAGUAGCUGGUCUGAGAGGAUGAUCAGCCACACUGGGACUGAGACACGGCCCAGACUCCUACGGGAGGCAGCAGUGGGGAAUCUUGCGCAAUGGAGGAAACUCUGACGCAGCCAUGCCGCGUGUGUGAUGAAGGUCUUAGGAUUGUAAAGCACUUUCGUUGGGGAAGAUAAUGACGGUACCCAAAGAAGAAGUCCCGGCUAACUCCG
This 430-nucleotide ribosomal RNA is filed under the name uncultured Pseudomonadota bacterium. RNAcentral describes it as "bacterial SSU rRNA". It matches the Rfam family "Bacterial small subunit ribosomal RNA", at positions 29 to 505 of the family's 1533-position model. The record is from RNAcentral. Lineage: Bacteria; Pseudomonadati; Pseudomonadota.